AUGUUUGAACAAUUUGGUGAGAACCUGUUCGAGGGUGGAUCGUACCAAGUCGAGGAAGUUGUAAAGAGAAAGAAAUACAUCGCAAGGCACAACAAUGCUGAGAAACGGGAGAAGUGGAUCAAGGUCGAAUACAAGGUCAACAUAUCUGAUGACGGCGAUUGGUUCGAUUGUGAAUGUGGGCAAUUUGCCCAUAUGGGCAUGCUGUGCUGCCAUGCUCUGAAGGUUAUUUUCUGA
Molecule: ribosomal RNA, 234 nt
Filed under: Triticum aestivum (bread wheat)
Lineage: Eukaryota; Viridiplantae; Streptophyta; Magnoliopsida; Poales; Poaceae
Description: partial small subunit ribosomal RNA
Source: RNAcentral